Molecule: ribosomal RNA, 51 nt
Filed under: Parengyodontium album
Lineage: Eukaryota; Fungi; Ascomycota; Sordariomycetes; Hypocreales; Cordycipitaceae
Also listed under: 2 other names
Description: partial 28S ribosomal RNA
Source: RNAcentral
GUUGACCUCGAAUCAGGUAGGAAUACCCGCUGAACUUAAGCAUAUCAAUAA